CUUCACACGUCAUACAAUGGUCGGUACAGAGGGUUGCCAAGCCGCGAGGUGGAGCCAAUCCCUUAAAGCCGAUCGUAGUCCGGAUCGUAGUCUGCAACUCGACUACGUGAAGUCGGAAUCGCUAGUAAUCGCAGAUCAGCAUGCUGCGGUGAAUACGUUCCCGGGUCUU
RNAcentral lists this ribosomal RNA (169 nucleotides) under uncultured Thauera sp. RNAcentral describes it as "partial 16S ribosomal RNA". It matches the Rfam family "Bacterial small subunit ribosomal RNA", at positions 1214 to 1382 of the family's 1533-position model. Lineage: Bacteria; Pseudomonadati; Pseudomonadota; Betaproteobacteria; Rhodocyclales; Zoogloeaceae. The record is from RNAcentral.